This is a long non-coding RNA of Rosa rugosa (rugosa rose), 660 nucleotides long. RefSeq lists it as uncharacterized. The transcript has 3 exons. Lineage: Eukaryota; Viridiplantae; Streptophyta; Magnoliopsida; Rosales; Rosaceae. The record is from RefSeq and is a predicted model, not a curated record.
UCUUUCUUCCUCAUGGGUGAAAAAGGUAAGAGAGACAGUGCGCAUUAUUAGCCAAGCCCAAGUAAGUCCCCAACCCACCAUAGUCGGAGAAGGGAGCUUUGCUAGGUCUGUGUGUGAGAACCGCUCAUUCAAGAGAGAAAGGUUCGAUUUUGAGUUUACAAACGUGUUAGUCUCCAUUGAUUAGGUGAAACCCAGAAAUGGCUGCUCCACCAGCAAGGGCUAGAGCCGAUUACGAAUUUACGAUUACCUCAUAAAGCUUCUUUUGAUCGGUGACAGCGGCCUGUAACAGCCAUACCAUUACAUAUGUUCCACAUUGUAACAGCCAUGCCAUUCUAUGGAUACAUCUACUAUGAAUCCUGAGCAGAGGGCAUAUUAUUCCAAACUUCAGAUGAAAAUUCUCCAAGGUGAUAUAUGAAGUGUGAGGUUGUUGGUUUGUUGGUUUCCAUUUUAGUUUGUAUCAGUUUGAGGUUUUGUCCAGUGAUCAUGUAUUUGACUGCUUGCAAACCCUUUAAGAAUGACUAUGUUUCCUGCUAUUUGACUGCUAGAACUGUGCAGUUUCUGUUUCUGUUUUCAAUCCAUUUCAGUUUGUAUCAGUUUGUUGGUUUCCAGUGAUGUUGUAUUUGACUGCUAUCAAAUUCAAGCUGAUUCUGUUUCCUGCUA